UAAAACAGACUACACAACUAUUUGCCAAUUCGAAUGAAUACCGGAGUUACAAACAACAUACUAGCAAAGGUUUGCUGAGAAAGGAGUCGAGCUCUACGCAACAUUCAACACAUCCGGCAAGGCGUCGGGAGCACCACCACUUUGACCAUUGAGAACAAUAACAUUCCCAUCAGAAUCAACAUCUAUAAUAACAGAAUCACCUUCUUUGAUCUCUGCUGAAAGCAUUUUCUCAGCCAUGCUGUCCUCGAGAAGCCUCAUUAUAGCUCUUCU
RNAcentral lists this long non-coding RNA (270 nucleotides) under Populus trichocarpa (black cottonwood). RNAcentral describes it as "long non-coding RNA (PTRI_LNC003505)". The record is from RNAcentral. Lineage: Eukaryota; Viridiplantae; Streptophyta; Magnoliopsida; Malpighiales; Salicaceae.